RNAcentral lists this long non-coding RNA (410 nucleotides) under Populus trichocarpa (black cottonwood). RNAcentral describes it as "long non-coding RNA (PTRI_LNC001933)". The record is from RNAcentral. Lineage: Eukaryota; Viridiplantae; Streptophyta; Magnoliopsida; Malpighiales; Salicaceae.
AGAUGAUUGAUCGAGACUGCAUGUUAUAAACAGGACACCCAAAGAUGAGAUGAAGAUACGAUAAUAUCAUGACCUUUUUCUUGAAUCGUUACCUUUUAUGGUUAAUUAAAGUAAGAUUACCUUCAAGGCUUUUCUAUAUGGGGUUCCAGGCAAAUUUAUAGGAGCUGAAACUACUCCUUUCAUGAAAGUAACAUACUCUUUUUUCAGCUGCUCAGUCUCUGGCUUUCCAGGAUCCAAGCUCAUGAUAUGUUUUGCCAUCAAAUUGAAGGUAAACUGCAAUUUCCUUCAUAUGCUAAGUAUUCCUCUCGAAUAUAGAAUUCAGUAUUGAAAUUCAUUUUCUUGGCAUUGCAAGUUUGAAGAAUUACCUUCUUUGCUUCAUCUUGAGCUGAAAAUGUACAAUUCUCCUUCCA